This is a non-coding RNA of Pelobates cultripes (western spadefoot toad), 275 nucleotides long. NCBI's taxonomy places the organism in Eukaryota, Metazoa, Chordata, Amphibia, Anura, Pelobatidae. The record is from the annotation of a GenBank genome assembly.
AGUGUAUCAACUAAUACAUUGAUUACUGUGGAAAGAGAGAAUCAGUCCCACUCACACAAGCAAACUGGCUCUGGUUAUAAAAGGCAAAAAAAAAAAAUAACACUGAUAGAAUCCUUGCUACUGGCCCAGUGGUAGUUCCUCUAUAUGGUAGUUCCAUUUCUUCUCAUGCUGCGGCUGCUUCCUAACUCACAGUGACUUCCAACAGACGUAUGUGUUCUUGUGCCAUCUUAAUUGUGGUAAAUGUCCUAAUUGUUCAGUAACACUUGCAAAAAAGC